Xyrichtys novacula (pearly razorfish) is the source of this 3584-nucleotide non-coding RNA. NCBI's taxonomy places the organism in Eukaryota, Metazoa, Chordata, Actinopteri, Labriformes, Labridae. The record is from the annotation of a GenBank genome assembly.
CUUUCUCAGAUUUUAACAAAAUACGUUUACCUUGUGAUUUGAAACUUAACAUACAUGUAGUAUGGACUACAAACUUUAUAACUUUGAAGUUGUUGCAAAUGUGGAAAUGCAUGAUAUCCCCCCCCCCCCCCCCACACACACACACACACACACACACACACACACACACCUCACGUCUGAGGAUUGGCACCUCACAAACUAAGUGGUUCCUGUGGCCUAUUGUCUCCAUUGAAAACGAUUAAGAACAAUGUAAUUCAUAUGCUAAGCCAGUCCCUGAAAAGCACCAAAAGACAGAGGAAGAGUACGGACUUUUCUAAAAAGUAUUGUUUUCAGUCAACCAAAACACCAUUUCCAUGUGGAUGAAACGCUGAUAUGUCAAAAAAACCUUUGCAUGUACUGGAUACAGUUCCUGCUGUGGAAAGGCACCUCAUGGAAUGAAUGUUCUGGUCAUUAGGGAGAUAAAUAAAAUUCACGGUACCAUACAGAGGCCAUACUUUCUUUUCAUUUAAACAAACUAUGAUCUCCACAGGAGCUGAAGUGAAAUGAAAUACUUGGUCUCAUCAGGUGUAGGUGUAAAAUCCUGCAGGUACAUCAGAGAUUAAAGGAAGAUCUGUGAGGCUGUUAUCUCAGGCUCUUUUCCAACAGAGGGACAUCCCAUCCAGCAGCCUCUGAGGGUGAUCCCAGCUGUCUCUGAGGGACAGCUGACCGGCUCACACCUGCUUCUUCCAGUCCCACUGCCCCCAACAUCGAACAUGAUGGAACCCCCAUCCCCCAUCCCUCCCGAAUAUCAAACCCAGCCCAGCAACACAUUCAAAGUCUACACGUCACACUUUGUGAUGGUCUAUGCUCAUGUCCUCUAACCCUUCUCCUGUGUUAUUGUGUCCAUCUCUGUCCUUUUUUCUGUUUUCUUCUCUGCAGCAUUUAGAAACAUCGCUUAGCUAAACAUUGGCUGCUCCCUGCUACUACCUUCUCUUGGAAUUAAAACUACAUGUCGUCUGUUACACACUUGUCUGCUGCCCAUCCUCCAAACUGAAGGAAGUGUCGUUUGGCGGAGUUACACUAACAAACCAGAUUAAACUGUUGUUUUAUUUUAAAAUCAAAACUCUACAAAUAGUUUAAGAUGAACAAAGUUAGAACAUAAGACUUUAAGUAAAGCAUUGUUUGUUUGUUUGUUCGUUUUUUUUUUCACUCAGAUUUGUGUCCCUUCAGUGUUUUCCUGAAUAAAUUAACAUUGAUAUGUCCAAAGAAUCCAUGUUAUUUUUUAAGCUGAAAGCAAGAUUUAACCCAACUGAGAAAAAAACUGUCAUUCUGAUAACAUGUGGUUAUGGGUUCAGAUAGCAUAAACUACUUAGGAUACAGCGACUAUGUUGUCUUGUAUGUAUUUUAUGGCUGUAGUAUUUUAAACUCUAUACACUGUAAUGUUUGUGUCUAUCAUGUUACAGUAUUAAUUUCAUCAAUGAAAAUUAGGAUGAUAAUUGUUUGUCAGUUAGCCUUUUUUUCCAUGACAAAGAGGAGACAAUGACGUGCUUACACACACACACACAUAUAUGUAUAUAUAUAUCUAUAUAUUUGCAGUUAUCUCUAAAUAAUGAAUCAAAGUUCUAUGCAUGUAUCUCUAAAUAAACUAAUAAAUGAUAACUUCAGUGGCUGAUAUUUAGGAACUAGCAAAAUUGCAAAAACUUGUCAAGGGACAUGCAUUUUUUUUUUUUUUGUGACACUCAUCAUAAAAACACCAAAUAAGGGAUUCCCUCGUUGAAAACUGAUGCUCAUUUAUCCAGUGCACUUCAGAUAAUACAGGAUUAAUUAUGUGAGAUCCAGAGCUGUGUGAAAGUUGUAGGAGAGUCUCAAAGAGGCUUCUCUGAGCUUUAAACUGCAGAAUGAAGUAGUAUCACCUGCAAAUGAGACACCAGAUUGAGUGUGGAGCUGCUGACAUUUAACCCAGAGCCACUGACUGAUGCCAGUCUAGAACAGUUAUGCAACCAGGCGGUGAUCCGAUGCUGUGCCUUCUACUCAUGUCAGCCAGGGAUUCCUCCAGCUUCACAAGAUGCUGAAACUCCCAUCAGCCCACUCAAGUAUUCACUUAUUACAGCAAGAGUCCUUUAGGGGUCUUACAGAACAGUAAAUAAUUAAAUUGUGGGUUUUUUAAAGCAUGCUCUGCUGGUGGUGAGGUCCCGCAGGGCUGCAGGGUGUCGCGUUUCAUUACACAGAACAGAUCUUUUUGAAACCUUAUCGUAUUGACCUUAAACACUUUCUGACUUCUUCUCUCACUGCAUGUGUCAAAGGAAGUGAGCGUUAGUUCAUGGCCUUGCUGGACACUAAGUUGAAACAUAUACAGCGUGACCCCAGUGAAGGAAUCCAUGCCAACUGCACUGACCUGCGUCAGAAUAGCUCAGUGUCAGGCUGCAGCUGCGUCCUGUCAAACGCUGAGAGUACUAGGUGAGAGCAAAUUGUGUCACACCAGACAGGAACGGGAAAAAUCUAUCAUUUAAAUUUCCGCCAUGAGGAGUCAGAGUCGUCAGCACUUCCUUCAUUAUGAUAGGAGGCAGGGAAAGUAACAUUAUGUGCUUGGCAACCACAUACAAUGACAGAGAGCGCCUCUAUAAAUAACACCUUUAUGGUUGGGUGUAUUUAAAGCUCCUCCCCCACAUUCAAUUCAGCACCUGUCCAUGGAGAGGCUGCCUGGAGAUACAGAUCAGGAACACAAAAUCACAAUUAAGUGAAUAGCUCUGCCUUUAAAGACUCAAAAUUGUUGUUUAAGUAUUGAUAAUGUGAAGUCCAUUUAUCCAGAAGCUGACUUUAAAAGACUUAGAAAACAGUGAUGAAGGACAGACAGUUCCAGCUUCAAAUGGGGGGAAUUAUAAAGUGGCUCUAUUAAAUGCUCUGCUCAGAUUCCUCCUGCAGGUCUGAGUAGGGUUACAUGUUUCAAUGUUGGUCGUACUCCAUUGAAACCAAAACCUCAUGUCUCGUGUACACAGUGUGGUCAGGAGGGGGCUAUAUUUAAACCAGGCCUACUGGUCCAUCUGCACCCUGUCAAACAGGAGCCCCCACCAAAACCAAGACCCUGAUUCAAUUUCACAGAGUCAGUCUUCUACGCGUCUAGAACUUGACCAGAACUCUCUUAGCUUUUGCUAAACCCUCUGUAAAAGGAAAAGCCGUUUUCUAAACCCUAAUACUCUUUGUUCCCAGUGAGGACAUAAAGUCACACUGAGUCCAAAAUGUGAGCACAGCAGAAAAUAUUAUUUUCUCUUUCCCGAAUUAUGAUAUUCCUUUUAGAAGAUUAACCCUUUACACGCCAGGUUGUGCUCAUUGUGUCACUGAACAUUUUAUGAAAAAUAAAAAAUAAAAAAAGGAAAGAAACUAUUUAUUUCCCACAUAUCACAUGCCAAGAGGAAAAUUUUCUCUAUAAGAACAGUCUGGGUCAUGUUGGUGAUAAUCAGCUAAAUCAGUGAUGGUGUCUGUCAAAUAUGUGCUGCAUAAAAAAAAUCGGAUGUAGAGAUUAUUCCAGUCUUGCUCACUUAUUAAAAAUAAAUGUUUAUUUGUUGAAGUCGAACUUGUCAUGUGUUGCCUUGUAUAUAGUAUGCCAC